CUUAAAUAGCUUAAAGUUAGAGUAUGUUAUUGAAGAUAACAAGGUAACAGAAUGUUUUUAAGUGU
This 65-nucleotide transfer RNA is filed under the name Coleoptera sp. ACP-2013. Its description in RNAcentral is "tRNA-Phe". The record is from RNAcentral. Lineage: Eukaryota; Metazoa; Arthropoda; Insecta; Coleoptera.